GGGGCCGACUGGUUUUGACAGCAUAGGGCAGGGUAUGUAAGCAUGUCGUGCGUUGGAUAAUUAGCACGUAAAUCUGAAUAUUCGAACUUCAAAUGGCGAAUCUAACUACGCCAUGGCUGCCUAAUUAAAUUAGCGCAACCAUUUUGGCCGCAGACGGGCCUUUGCCUGUUGUCGCUCCUGCCGCCUAACUCAAACUUCAACAGGAUAGUAAUUGCAUUGCUGCGGUGCGAUUAUGAAACAACAGCAGCUAGGGAAGUGAUAAGUUUGUCCGGUUCUGGUCACUUUCCGAAAUCCAAUUCCGGAAUAAACAUGUAGAAAGCGUAUCGGGCAUAUGUUUGGACGCGGGUUCGAAUCCCGCCGGCUCCACUU
Molecule: transfer-messenger RNA, 369 nt
Filed under: Sphingobacteriales bacterium
Lineage: Bacteria; Pseudomonadati; Bacteroidota; Sphingobacteriia; Sphingobacteriales
Rfam family: transfer-messenger RNA
About the family: Bacterial tmRNA, also known as 10Sa RNA or SsrA, is named for its dual tRNA and mRNA-like properties. Its role is to liberate the mRNA from a stalled ribosome.
Source: RNAcentral